UUUUUGCAUGACAACAUUCAAUGCGUACAUGGGCCACUUUGCAUAAACAGUUUUGCAAUCAAAGUCACUAAAGUCGAAACAGUUCCAGUUUUACUUUUGUAAAGAACGGACGCUAUUUUUCCAGCUAUCGAGCAAACACAUACAUAAAGCGAAACAAAAAUGGUUGGACACAUGAAGUUUUUGAUUCUUGGACUGGUCAUUCUCUCGAUUGGCGUGAUGUCCUCGGUUGACGCUGGAUACGGGUGCAACGGUCCGUGGGACUACAACGACAACGUGUGCUCAGUCCACUGCCUCGCCACCAGCCUCUCCUCCGGCGCCUGCCGUUGGUUCACUGGAUUUUUUAGGUGUCACUGCGACUAAUUUACAUACAUGCAGGAACGACUCUUGCCACACUACUUAUUGUUUGGUUAACAAAUCUUUAAUAAAAUUCGUUUAAGCGUAAAUUUAGAUGCAAAAUGUAGAUUUCUUGAAUAAAUCAUUGUUCUUGUUGUUACUUGUA
Folsomia candida is the source of this 499-nucleotide long non-coding RNA. RefSeq lists it as uncharacterized. Lineage: Eukaryota; Metazoa; Arthropoda; Collembola; Entomobryomorpha; Isotomidae. The record is from RefSeq and is a predicted model, not a curated record. The transcript is spliced from 2 exons.